UACGGAGGGGGGCUAGCGUUGUUCGGAAUUACUGGGCGUAAAGCGCACGUAGGCGGCUUUGUAAGUUAGAGGUGAAAGCCCAGGGCUUAACCCUGGAAUUGCCUUUAAGACUGCAUCGCUAGAAUCCGUGGAGAGGUGAGUGGAAUUCCGAGUGUAGAGGUGAAAUUCGUAGAUAUUCGGAAGAACACCAGUGGCGAAGGCGACUCACUGGA
RNAcentral lists this ribosomal RNA (212 nucleotides) under uncultured bacterium. RNAcentral describes it as "partial 16S ribosomal RNA". It matches the Rfam family "Bacterial small subunit ribosomal RNA", at positions 524 to 733 of the family's 1533-position model. The record is from RNAcentral.